RNAcentral lists this ribosomal RNA (253 nucleotides) under uncultured bacterium. RNAcentral describes it as "partial 16S ribosomal RNA". It matches the Rfam family "Bacterial small subunit ribosomal RNA", at positions 524 to 776 of the family's 1533-position model. The record is from RNAcentral.
UACGGAGGGUGCAAGCAUUGAUCGGAAUUACUGGGCGUAAAGGGCGCGUAGGCGGUUUUUUAAGUCAGGUGUGAAAUUCCGGGGCUCAACCCCGGAGCUGCACUUGAAACUGGAGAACUUGAGGGUAGUAAGGGAAAACGGAAUUCCACGUGUAGCGGUGAAAUGCGUAGAUAUGUGGAAGAACACCGGUGGUGAAGACGGUUUUCUGUGCUAAACCAGACGCUGAGGCGCGAAAGCUAGGGGAGCAAACAGG